Molecule: non-coding RNA, 21 nt
Filed under: Caenorhabditis elegans
Lineage: Eukaryota; Metazoa; Nematoda; Chromadorea; Rhabditida; Rhabditidae
Source: RNAcentral
UAAACUAGCACUGCUCGUAAA